Molecule: ribosomal RNA, 246 nt
Filed under: uncultured bacterium
Lineage: Bacteria
Description: partial 16S ribosomal RNA
Rfam family: Bacterial small subunit ribosomal RNA
Source: RNAcentral
GAUCCUGGCUCAGGAUGAACGCUAGCGGCAGGCCUAACACAUGCAAGUCGGAGGGGCAGCACGGUGUAGCAAUACACUGGUGGCGACCGGCGCACGGGUGCGUAACGCGUAUGCAACCUACCCAUAACAGGGGGGAUAACACUGAGAAAUUGGUACUAAUACCCCAUAACAUCAGGACCGGCAUCGGUUCUGGUUGAAAACUCCGGUGGUUUAAUGGAUGGGCAUGGCGUUGUAUUAGCUGGUUGG